Tachysurus fulvidraco (yellow catfish) is the source of this 908-nucleotide long non-coding RNA. RefSeq lists it as uncharacterized. The transcript has 8 exons. The record is from RefSeq and is a predicted model, not a curated record. NCBI's taxonomy places the organism in Eukaryota, Metazoa, Chordata, Actinopteri, Siluriformes, Bagridae.
CAUUUGCAGGGAUUCCCUUAUCAUACCACCAUAGAGGACUGUUUCACUGGCAUACAGGUUGAAUCUGGGAGGGAUACAGAAUUUAUUUCCUGUAACCGAGUGGAGCCCGACAUCAUCGUGCCAGGUUUUUAUUAUGUGCAAACCAUUAAACAGGUGACCUGCACAUAACUUUGUGGGUAAAGAUGGGCAAAUGGACACCUCCACUUGGGAGAAGGAAGUGGUUCGCAUUCCAUAUGUGGAGAGUGAGGAGAGCCUUAACCCAGAGGAGAUGGAGGUGCCCUUUAUUUGCUGCCUUUGAGGCGCUGAUUCUCUGAAGGACGCCUUCUAAUCGACCGAAGCAGAGAUCUCCUCCUGUGUCCCCCACUACAACUUCCUGGAUGUUUUUUUUGAGCUGCUUCUGUUUCGCCAUUUCAGAAGUGGCUCAACACUUGAGACAGAUUCUUGGAGCGCCUGCUUGAGCUCGUCAGCUUGUGGACGUGUGGGAGCCUGCAGCAGAGCUGUACUUCACAGUGCUUAUUCUCUACAGCGACCCAGCAGCCUUAGCCAGCACGGUUCAGCAACUUCUCAAGAAGCACGUCCAGCAGAUGAUGGACAUUUUGGAGAAGCUUUGAGCAAUGUCCUUCAUUUACCACUUUAUUUUUACCUCUUCUGUUUCAUUUCAUGGUUGUUCUUUUCCCUCACUUAUUUUCCCUACAUUGCUCAAGCUCUCCACACUUAAGUAUAAUUUAAUUUUAUUUCUGUUUUUGAUUAACUUAAUAUUUAAAGAUCUAUUUCUUUCCUACAGGUCUUUAACAUGAAGGCCAGAAUUGGAGAUGGGCUUAACCCAGUGUCUUAAGAUCCCUCAUCCCUUAAUAAUUAUCACUCAGUAAUCUAUCCCUCUAUUUCUAUCCCACUUCCCUAUUCCCAUC